This 474-nucleotide ribosomal RNA is filed under the name uncultured bacterium. RNAcentral's name for it is "bacterial SSU rRNA". It matches the Rfam family "Bacterial small subunit ribosomal RNA", at positions 30 to 506 of the family's 1533-position model. The record is from RNAcentral.
UUGAACGCUGGCGGCAUGCUUUACACAUGCAAGUCGAACGGUAACAGGUUAAGCUGACGAGUGGCGAACGGGUGAGUAAUGCAUCGGAACGUGCCCGAUCGUGGGGGAUAACGCAGCGAAAGCUGCGCUAAUACCGCAUACGAUCUGAGGAUGAAAGCGGGGGACCGUAAGGCCUCGCGCGAUCGGAGCGGCCGAUGUCAGAUUAGGUAGUUGGUGGGGUAAAGGCUCACCAAGCCGACGAUCUGUAGCUGGUCUGGGAGGACGACCAGCCACACUGGGACUGAGACACGGCCCAGACUCCUACGGGAGGCAGCAGUGGGGAAUUUUGGACAAUGGGCGAAAGCCUGAUCCAGCAAUGCCGCGUGCAGGAAGAAGGCCUUCGGGUUGUAAAGCUCUGUGGAUGGGGAAGAAUAAGUGCCGGCUAAUACCCUGCAUGAUGACGGUACCCAUUUAGCAAGCACCGGCUAACUCUGU